Long non-coding RNA from Hermetia illucens (black soldier fly), 192 nucleotides. RefSeq lists it as uncharacterized. The record is from RefSeq and is a predicted model, not a curated record. The transcript has 2 exons. Lineage: Eukaryota; Metazoa; Arthropoda; Insecta; Diptera; Stratiomyidae.
UGCAAUUCAGGAAAACUGCCAUCAUUUUCAUGCAAAUGACCCAAAAACCGAAAGUUGUUAUGGCAGGAAAAAUGUUUCCGGUUACCUUGACUACAUUUGCUUCGAUUAUGAGAACUUCGUAUUCAAUUUUGACUGUGGCCAAUCAACUGCGCUAAAUUGAAGAUAUAAUGCUGGAAGUCCAAGUGGAAUGGU